UACGUAGGUGGCGAGCGUUGUCCGGAAUUACUGGGUGUAAAGGGCGUGUAGGCGGGGCGGCAAGUCAGUGGUGAAAUUCCGGGGCUUAACCCCGGCGCUGCAUCUGAAACUGUCGUUCUUGAGUGUCGGAGAGGAAGGUGGAAUUCCCGGUGUAGCGGUGAAAUGCGUAGAGAUUAGGAGGAACACCAGUGGCGAAGGCACUGUCCUGGGCCGGCACUGACGCUGAGGCGCGACAGAAUGGGGAGCGAACGGG
This 253-nucleotide ribosomal RNA is filed under the name uncultured bacterium. RNAcentral describes it as "partial 16S ribosomal RNA". It matches the Rfam family "Bacterial small subunit ribosomal RNA", at positions 524 to 776 of the family's 1533-position model. The record is from RNAcentral.